Molecule: ribosomal RNA, 465 nt
Filed under: uncultured Smithella sp.
Lineage: Bacteria; Pseudomonadati; Thermodesulfobacteriota; Syntrophia; Syntrophales; Smithellaceae
Description: bacterial SSU rRNA
Rfam family: Bacterial small subunit ribosomal RNA
Source: RNAcentral
CCCGCACAAGCGGUGGAGCAUGUGGUUUAAUUCGAUGCAACGCGAAGAACCUUACCUGGGCUUGACAUCCCGGGAAUCCCCUGGAAACAGGGGAGUGCCCUUCGGGGAACCCGGUGACAGGUGCUGCAUGGCUGUCGUCAGCUCGUGUCGUGAGAUGUUGGGUUAAGUCCCGCAACGAGCGCAACCCUUAUCUUUAAUUGCCAGCAUUCAGUUGGGCACUUUAAAGAGACUGCCGGUGUUAAACCGGAGGAAGGUGGGAUGACGUCAAGUCCUCAUGGCCUUUAUGCUUAGGGCUACACACGUGCUACAAUGGGUGGUACAAAGAGAAGCCAACUCGCGAGAGCGCGCCAAUCUCAAAAAGCCAUCCUCAGUUCGGAUUGGAGUCUGCAACUCGACUCCAUGAAGUUGGAAUCGCUAGUAAUCGCGGAUCAGCAUGCCCGCGGUCCGAAUACGUUCCCGGGCCUU